Molecule: non-coding RNA, 29 nt
Filed under: Mus musculus (house mouse)
Lineage: Eukaryota; Metazoa; Chordata; Mammalia; Rodentia; Muridae
Source: RNAcentral
UGAGGAACCUUAAUGGCAUUGUGGCCACC